GCGCCUGUAGCUCAAUUGGAUAGAGCAUCGGUCUACGGAACCGAAGGUUGGGGGUUCGAAUCUCUCCAGGCGUA
This 74-nucleotide transfer RNA is filed under the name Planctomycetota bacterium. Its description in RNAcentral is "Planctomycetes bacterium tRNA-Arg". It matches the Rfam family "tRNA". Rfam says of the family: Transfer RNA (tRNA) molecules are approximately 80 nucleotides in length. Their secondary structure includes four short double-helical elements and three loops (D, anti-codon, and T loops). Further hydrogen bonds mediate the characteristic L-shaped molecular structure. tRNAs have two regions of fundamental functional importance: the anti-codon, which is responsible for specific mRNA codon recognition, and the 3' end, to which the tRNAs corresponding amino acid is attached (by aminoacyl-tRNA synthetases). tRNAs cope with the degeneracy of the genetic code in two manners: having more than one tRNA (with a specific anti-codon) for a particular amino acid; and 'wobble' base-pairing, i.e. permitting non-standard base-pairing at the 3rd anti-codon position. The record is from RNAcentral. RNAcentral also lists the same sequence under 1 other name. Lineage: Bacteria; Pseudomonadati; Planctomycetota.